Long non-coding RNA from Eptesicus fuscus (big brown bat), 380 nucleotides. RefSeq lists it as uncharacterized. The record is from RefSeq and is a predicted model, not a curated record. The transcript is spliced from 3 exons. NCBI's taxonomy places the organism in Eukaryota, Metazoa, Chordata, Mammalia, Chiroptera, Vespertilionidae.
GGUCCCGCUCAGGUCCCGCGCGCGGGUCUCCAGACGCCCGGCCCCGCGCGGGGACCCUGGCCCCGGCGUCCCGCGACGGCGGCGGUUCUCAAACCGGGGAGUAGUGUCCGGGGAGUCGUUACCUGCCGUCCCUCUCAAUCCCCGCCGUGAAAAAAAAUGGGAACUCUCUCAAGGACUAACAAUCAGAGCUGCCUAGUUGACGAGGGAGGUUUGGUUUCAAGAAGACCCUGAAGCAAGGAUUCUAAAUCAAAGAUUCAGGGGCAAUCUGAGUUUGCAUUAAAGAUCCCUGUGCCUAUAGCAGUGGCCUAUAUGUUAUGUUCAAUUGACAUAAAUAGAACAAGAUGAUGGGUACCAGUAUAAAUAAAAUGUUAAUAAACAGC